UUUUUUUGUUCUUUUUUUGUUUUUGUUUUUGAGAGCCGUCCCUACCUAUUCUUCUUAUCUUUACAAAUCUUAAUCUAUGGAAUAUAAGUGAGUUGCAGGGAAAGAAAAAUGAUGUUACGCUCUGAAUCUCUCAUCUUGCUCUUUCAAUUCUCAUGUUGCAGUCCGAGCUAAUGGUCCUAAUGAUGUGAGGUGAUUAUGGGAUAUCCGGGAAGACGACAUAGUUUGCUGAAAAUUUGAG
RNAcentral lists this long non-coding RNA (238 nucleotides) under Salvia miltiorrhiza (redroot sage). RNAcentral's name for it is "long non-coding RNA (SMIL_LNC004227)". Lineage: Eukaryota; Viridiplantae; Streptophyta; Magnoliopsida; Lamiales; Lamiaceae. The record is from RNAcentral.